RNAcentral lists this ribosomal RNA (407 nucleotides) under bacterium Ellin612. Its description in RNAcentral is "bacterial SSU rRNA". It matches the Rfam family "Bacterial small subunit ribosomal RNA", at positions 32 to 450 of the family's 1533-position model. Lineage: Bacteria; Pseudomonadati; Acidobacteriota; Terriglobia; Terriglobales; Acidobacteriaceae. The record is from RNAcentral.
AAUCAACGCUGGCGGCGUGCCUAACACAUGCAAGUCGAACGGGAAAGUGGAGCAAUCCAUGAGUAUAGUGGCGACCGGGUGAGUAACACGUGACUACCUGCCCUUGAGUGGGGGAUAACCUCGGGAAACCGAGGCUAAUACCGCAUAAAAUCGAAAGAUCAAAGGAGCAAUCCNCUUUUGGAGGGGGUCGCGGCUGAUUAGCUAGUUGGUGAGGUAAUGGCUCACCAAGGCGAAGAUCGGUAUCCGGCCUGAGAGGGCGCACGGACACACUGGAACUGAAACACGGUCCAGACUCCUACGGGAGGCAGCAGUGGGGAAUUUUACGCAAUGGGGGAAACCCUGACGCAGCAACGCCGCGUGGAGGAUGAAGCCCCUUGGGAUGUAAACUCCUUUCGACCGGGAAAAUU